Stylophora pistillata is the source of this 831-nucleotide long non-coding RNA. Lineage: Eukaryota; Metazoa; Cnidaria; Anthozoa; Scleractinia; Pocilloporidae. The record is from RefSeq and is a predicted model, not a curated record.
CUCUCCAGAGCGUCUUUGUGACUUCAUCAUUCGCUUAUUUGUGACUGCUGCAAUAACUAUGGGCUCUGGCCACACCAGAUGUUCUGUCACUUUCGCUUUCACUACUGGAGGAGAGACGGUCAAUGGCCAAGCCCUAUUUGCAUACACUUUUGACAUGACGGGGCAAUUCAGUUGUUGGUUUGAAUGUCAGCAAAAUUGCCGGUGCGUUUCUUUCAACUUUCUAACAAGUGUAGGAAGAAACAACUGCCAACUGAACGAGAAAAAAACCAAAUUUCAGGGGCCUGGUUCGAUGAAGGCACCGCACGGAUCUCAGUCUUAUGAUCGUGUGGCCGGCUACGGAGUUCAGAUUCACGGACUUAUGAGGAAGGUUUUGUGACGGUGGAAUCCAUGCCAAAUCAUUCUUGACAAACCGGUCCGCUUGUGGAUCGUAACCGCUAAAUUAAAGCCUCUGCUAUAGGCCCUAUUCACAGGCUAAACCUUUGUGAAGAGUUGCCGUACCCAAUUCGCUGUUAAGCUACGUUUUGAGGUGGUAAGGAACAAAAACGAAUACUGAGGAUCGUAACCGCUAAAUCAAAGGUUGAUGAGAUUUCCACUUGAAACACUAGAUCAAUGGCCUCUUUAAAUUCAAGCCGAAAAUAAAGCUCUUGGUUGUGACCUUAGUGGUACCUUUAUAAUUCUUCUCACAGAAAAAAUGUGUUGUAGGCCAGUUUUGAUGAAACAGGAGUUCACUGUCAAAAUUUCAGGUAAAAUGUUUAUAAGCAUUUUUUUGGCUACAAAAAAAGGAGUAGAUGUGAGCCGAAAGUGAGUUAUUUUGGAUGGUUUUUUACGCUG